Molecule: ribosomal RNA, 505 nt
Filed under: uncultured bacterium
Lineage: Bacteria
Description: partial 16S ribosomal RNA
Rfam family: Bacterial small subunit ribosomal RNA
Source: RNAcentral
GACGAACGCUGGCGGCGUGCCUAAUACAUGCAAGUAGAACGCACAGUUUAUACCGUAGCUUGCUACUCCAUAGACUGUGAGUUGCGAACGGGUGAGUAACGCGUAGGUAACCUGCCUGGUAGCGGGGGAUAACUAUUGGAAACGAUAGCUAAUACCGCAUAAUAUUGAUUAUUGCAUGAUAAUUAAUUGAAAGGUGCAAUUGCACCACUACCAGAUGGACCUGCGUUGUAUUAGCUAGUAGGUGAGGUAACGGCUCACCUAGGCGACGAUACAUAGCCGACCUGAGAGGGUGAUCGGCCACACUGGGACUGAGACACGGCCCAGACUCCUACGGGAGGCAGCAGUAGGGAAUCUUCGGCAAUAGACGAAAGUCUGACCGAGCAACGCCGCGUGAGUGAAGAAGGUUUUCGGAUCGUAAAGCUCUGUUGUAAGAGAAGAACGGGUGUGAGAGUGGAAAGUUCACACUGUGACGGUAUCUUACCAGAAAGGGACGGCUAACUACGUG